CCGGCUUUCUCUACAUUUUUCUCUAUAUUUUGCUUCUGCUGGAUUGAUUUCUCCUUCAACAUGCAUGGCUAUUUAUAGAAAUCAACCUAGUAGAGCCGACAAAUUUGCCCAGGCAAAUUUGUUGCUUAUUGGUGAAGGCAUCCACUCGCCUAAGUGAGUGGUAGCUCGCCCAGGAUAGUUGCUUGCUUAGGGAUGAAGUUACAUCUUUAGCCUAGGCGAGCUGGAUGCUAGCCUGGGCGAAUUUGGGGUCAGAAAUAUUUAUGAAAAGACCAUUUUGCCCUUCCUUUUGGCUUUGUUUUUGGAUCUAACAAGCAACCAUCAAAACCUAUAAAAUCAUGGAUGCAUCUUUCAUAUUUAAACAACAACAUUAGUAAGUGU
This 378-nucleotide long non-coding RNA is filed under the name Glycine max (soybean). RNAcentral describes it as "long non-coding RNA (GMAX_LNC003186)". The record is from RNAcentral. Lineage: Eukaryota; Viridiplantae; Streptophyta; Magnoliopsida; Fabales; Fabaceae.